Pan troglodytes (chimpanzee) is the source of this 10261-nucleotide long non-coding RNA. RefSeq lists it as uncharacterized. The transcript is spliced from 3 exons. NCBI's taxonomy places the organism in Eukaryota, Metazoa, Chordata, Mammalia, Primates, Hominidae. The record is from RefSeq and is a predicted model, not a curated record.
GCCGCCUCCAUUGUUAGAAAGCUCUCUCAGGCUGACGUCACCCUGUCCUGGACCUGGAGGAAGCCUGAUUCGCCGCCUCCAUUGUUAGAAAGCUCUCUCAGGCUGAUGUCACCCUGUCCUGGAGGGAGCGUGAUUCGCCGCCUCCAUUGUUAGAAAGCUCCCUCAGGCUGGCGUCACCCUGUCCUGGUCCUGGAGGAAGCCUGAUUCGCCGCCUCCAUUGGUAGAAAGCUCUCUCAGGCUGGCGUAACCCUGUCCUGGACCUGGAGGAAGCCUGAUUCGCCGCCUCCAUUGUUAGAAAGCUCUCUCAGGCUGAUGUCACCCUGUCCUGGUCCUGGAGGAAGCCUGAUUCGCCGCCUCCAUUGUUAGAAAGCUCUCUCAGGCUGGCGUCACCCUGUCCUGGUCCUGGAGGAAGCCUGAUUCGCCACCUCGGUUGUUGGAAAGCUCUCUCAGGCUGAUGUCACCCUGUCCUGGUCCUGGAGGAAGCCUGAUUCGCCGCCUCCAUUGUUAGAAAGCUCUCUCAGGCUGACGUCACCCUGUCCUGGUCCUGGAGGAAGCCUGAUUCGCCACCUCGGUUGUUGGAAAGCUCUCUCAGGCUGAUGUCACCCUGUCCUGGUCCUGGAGGAAGCCUGAUUCGCCGCCUCCAUUGUUAGAAAGCUCUCUCAGGCUGACGUCACCCUGUCCUGGACCUGGAGGAAGCCUGAUUCGCCACCUCGGUUGUUGGAAAGCUCUCUCAGGCUGAUGUCACCCUGUCCUGGUCCUGGAGGAAGCCUGAUUCGCCGCCUCCAUUGUUAGAAAGCUCUCUCAGGCUGACGUCACCCUGUCCUGGACCUGGAGGAAGCCUGAUUCGCCACCUCCACUGUUAGAAAGCUCUCUCAGGCUGACGUCACCCUGUCCUGGACCUGGAGGAAGCCUGAUUCGCCGCCUCCACUGUUAGAAAGCUCUCUCAGGCUGACGUCACCCUGUCCUGGACCUGGAGGAAGCCUGAUUCGCCGCCUCCAUUGUUAGAAAGCUCUCUCAGGCUGGCGUAACCCUGUCCUGGACCUGGAGGAAGCCUGAUUCGCCGCCUCCAUUGUUAGAAAGCUCUCUCAGGCUGACGUCACCCUGUCCUGGACCUGGAGGAAGCCUGAUUCGCCGCCUCCAUUGUUAGAAAGCUCUCUCAGGCUGAUGUCACCCUGUCCUGGAGGGAGCGUGAUUCGCCGCCUCCAUUGUUAGAAAGCUCCCUCAGGCUGGCGUCACCCUGUCCUGGUCCUGGAGGAAGCCUGAUUCGCCGCCUCCAUUGGUAGAAAGCUCUCUCAGGCUGGCGUAACCCUGUCCUGGACCUGGAGGAAGCCUGAUUCGCCGCCUCCAUUGUUAGAAAGCUCUCUCAGGCUGGCGUCACCCUGUCCUGGUCCUGGAGGAAGCCUGAUUCGCCGCCUCCAUUGUUAGAAAGCUCUCUCAGGCUGAUGUCACCCUGUCCUGGUCCUGGAGGAAGCCUGAUUCGCCGCCUCCAUUGUUAGAAAGCUCUCUCAGGCUGACGUCACCCUGUCCUGGUCCUGGAGGAAGCCUGAUUCGCCACCUCGGUUGUUGGAAAGCUCUCUCAGGCUGAUGUCACCCUGUCCUGGUCCUGGAGGAAGCCUGAUUCGCCGCCUCCAUUGUUAGAAAGCUCUCUCAGGCUGACGUCACCCUGUCCUGGACCUGGAGGAAGCCUGAUUCGCCACCUCGGUUGUUGGAAAGCUCUCUCAGGCUGAUGUCACCCUGUCCUGGUCCUGGAGGAAGCCUGAUUCGCCGCCUCCAUUGUUAGAAAGCUCUCUCAGGCUGACGUCACCCUGUCCUGGACCUGGAGGAAGCCUGAUUCGCCACCUCGGUUGUUGGAAAGCUCUCUAAGGCUGAUGUCACCCUGUCCUGGUCCUGGAGGAAGCCUGAUUCGCCGCCUCCAUUGUUAGAAAGCUCUCUCAGGCUGACGUCACCCUGUCCUGGUCCUGGAGGAAGCCUGAUUCGCCACCUCGGUUGUUGGAAAGCUCUCUCAGGCUGAUGUCACCCUGUCCUGGUCCUGGAGGAAGCCUGAUUCGCCGCCUCCAUUGUUAGAAAGCUCUCUCAGGCUGACGUCACCCUGUCCUGGACCUGGAGGAAGCCUGAUUCGCCACCUCGGUUGUUGGAAAGCUCUCUAAGGCUGAUGUCACCCUGUCCUGGUCCUGGAGGAAGCCUGAUUCGCCGCCUCCAUUGUUAGAAAGCUCUCUCAGGCUGACGUCACCCUGUCCUGGACCUGGAGGAAGCCUGAUUCGCCGCCUCCAUUGUUAGAAAGCUCUCUCAGGCUGAUGUCACCCUGUCCUGGAGGGAGCGUGAUUCGCCGCCUCCAUUGUUAGAAAGCUCCCUCAGGCUGGCGUCACCCUGUCCUGGUCCUGGAGGAAGCCUGAUUCGCCGCCUCCAUUGGUAGAAAGCUCUCUCAGGCUGGCGUAACCCUGUCCUGGACCUGGAGGAAGCCUGAUUCGCCGCCUCCAUUGUUAGAAAGCUCUCUCAGGCUGAUGUCACCCUGUCCUGGUCCUGGAGGAAGCCUGAUUCGCCGCCUCCAUUGUUAGAAAGCUCUCUCAGGCUGACGUCACCCUGUCCUGGUCCUGGAGGAAGCCUGAUUCGCCACCUCGGUUGUUGGAAAGCUCUCUCAGGCUGAUGUCACCCUGUCCUGGUCCUGGAGGAAGCCUGAUUCGCCGCCUCCAUUGGUAGAAAGCUCUCUCAGGCUGGCGUCACCCUGUCCUGGAGGAAGCCUGAUUCGCCGCCUCCAUUGUUAGAAAGCUCUCUCAGGCUGGCGUAACCCUGUCCUGGACCUGGAGGAAGCCUGAUUCGCCGCCUCCAUUGUUAGAAAGCUCUCUCAGGCUGACGUCACCCUGUCCUGGACCUGGAGGAAGCCUGAUUCGCCGCCUCCAUUGUUAGAAAGCUCUCUCAGGCUGACGUCACCCUGUCCUGGACCUGGAGGAAGCCUGAUUCGCCGCCUCCAUUGUUAGAAAGCUCUCUCAGGCUGGCGUAACCCUGUCCUGGACCUGGAGGAAGCCUGAUUCGCCGCCUCCAUUGUUAGAAAGCUCUCUCAGGCUGGCGUAACCCUGUCCUGGACCUGGAGGAAGCCUGAUUCGCCGCCUCCAUUGUUAGAAAGCUCUCUCAGGCUGACGUCACCCUGUCCUGGUCCUGGAGGAAGCCUGAUUCGCCGCCUCCACUGUUAGAAUUCUCUCUCAGGCUGAGGGUGUCUCUGGGCUCCAGGGAGCUUCUUUGCCUAUGGGAUUCUUGGAGGGGAUCUGCUCUGUUUGUGAAUUCCCACUGCCUCACGGCUGAAGUCUGACAAAUAGUACCACCAUCUUCCUGGAGUGACUGGGAGAGACACCUGGGAUCUUGCUGGGUCAAUAGUGACUGUGCAAGGCCAUCCAUGAUAAAAUGCGUUCCAACCUCAGAGACAUGAAAAUAAAAGUGAAAAAAAGAAAAGGCAUCUUAGAAUCUGUGAAAUGUUGUAAGUAAAAUAGGAACACGGUGGUUAUGUUUGGAUUAAGUACGGCUGUGCUCAAGACAAGCUCACCUGACUUCUGCCUCCCGCUUCUGCCUCCUUCGUGUGGUCUCCAGCCUGGAGCUGGAUGUUGGAGUGAACAUGAGUGUAAACACAGAAAGCGUCGACAUGUUUUCAACAAGGAAAUUCGUUUCUUUGCUCUGUGUGCUUGUGUGCCUGUCUAGGACCGUGUUGUAACUUCAGGAAAGAUUAGAAUCAGUGAACUCCUUCAGGGCUAGGACCAGGAAUUCUGUCUGUACUCUUUUUACCUUCUUGCCAUCUUUCCUCAAUUAUUAAUACAUUACUCUCGCACAAGGAGGCAAAGCUCAGAGGUGUUAGUGCUCUUUUUUUUAAAAAGCAACAAGUAUUAUAGAUCUUUAUUUUAGUAAAAGAAAAUUGAAUCUUUUGACAAGAGUUCCUAUACAUUCUCAUUUAGUCCAAAUUGUCAGCCCAGAAGCCCCAGUGAACACAACCUGAAUUUCAGGCUUUAUACCACACGAUACAAGAACCUGCAAAUAAAAGAAAAAUUCAGUGACUUUAGGAUUCUUCUUGCUUCUCUUUUGCAUCUGAGACUUCAAGAAUACAAUUCAAAAAUUUCUCAGCUUAAACAUUACAUUGAUUUAAAGUUUCAGAUAUUUCAAAACCCUUUCUCUGGAAUUGCCAUAUUUGGCCCAAAACCCAAGUCAAAACACCCUACAAGGGAAGAGCAGAGAGGACUUGUUACACCCAUUUUUCAGAUGAGAAGACUGAGGGACAGAAGAGCUGAGAAGGCACUACUGGUGCUCUGUCCUGAGUCCUGGAACUGUCCCAAGAAUACGGGCCUGAUGUUAGCAAGCACCUUUCCCACGACCUGGCACUACCUACCUUUCAUUGCUAUAUGGACCAGAGUCAGAGGAAGUGUGGGGCCCAGAGAGCGUGCGGGUGACUGCGCCUGGACCCUCUGUCAGUCAAGAUGUCCUUGGGUUUUCUCCUUGCUGCCCUGUUCCUUGUACAGCCACACCUAUCUCCAAACCAGCUGCAUCGACACCUUUGUUAUUAUGAGGAUUUGAUUCCACCUAGGAUGUGCAGCUUUUACUGUGAUCAAUGGCCUCUGAGAGUAUGGAGUGGAGGACAGAAGAAAAUGCAAAGCAACUGGACGUUCCAGAAUGAGAAGCUGUUCCAGAAUGAGGAGCUGUUCCAGAAUGGGGAGCUGUUCCAGACUGAUGAGCUGCACCUUGUACCUGCCUCACCCCUGAUCACAUAGCCUUGAUGCCAGAAACCUAGAGUGCUCUAUUUAGAAACGUUAGGCUGGCAGCAGGAACCCCUGAAGAAACUCAGGACGCUAGGUGCUUGAGCGCGCAGCUAACCCGCAGGAGAAACAUCUCCCUUCUGCUGACCUGAGGCUUGACUCCUCUCCCACAGGAGGGGAAAAGAGGCCUCCACCCACAGUCCACUGUUAUCCUAGGAGAAAUCCUGUGGCCUCCUGCCCAGGAAGUGACAGAGAGAGAGAAGCUGAAGCUGCUUUAACCUUCAAGAUGAACCUGUUUCUUCCACGAGGUUUUCUCUUGCCUGUACACGUAUCUUUAAGUCCACCAGACACAUCCACGCUCUGCUCGCACAGCGUUGCCAGGGCCAGUGCCUUCUCUCCCAUCCUGUGUUUGCAUUUGCCAUUUGGUGGGCCUGUCCUGCUGACCAGCAAGUCUCUGUACUGAAUUUGGUGACUUUGAUCUUAUGAUUCAUGUUUCCCAGCGAGGUACUGUGUGUCUUUGCUAUGAAUAAUGUGUUAUUCAAGGGCUAGUUGGAAGAUUGCAUAUAUAAAUUGAAAACAUUUUGUCUAAAAAGGGGUGUAUAGACAGAAAGAAAAUUUCAGCCAGAGAGAAUUCUUUUUUCUUCUUGAGACAGGGUCUUGCUCUGGAGUGCAGUGGUGCUAUCAUAGCUAACUGCAGCCUUGACCUCUCAGGCUCAAGCAAUCCUCCCGCCUCAGCCUCCCGAGUAGCUGAGAUUACAGGUGUGCACCACCAUGCCCAUAAAUUUUUUGUAAGGACAGGGUCUUGCUUAGUUGCCCAGGCUGAUCUCAAACUCCUGGGCUCAAGCAGUCCUCCCUCCUCAGCCUCCCAAAGUAGUGGAAUUACAGGCGAGAGCCACCGUACCUGGCCUUCAGAAAGAAAUUGUUUAAAAACCUCCUUAAGGCAAGUGCAGAACACAAAGGAAUUCAAAGAGCACCAACAUGGGAUUAGCGAGGGCCGGGAGCUAGGCCUGUGCCAUGUAUCACUGCAUGUUGUGCUGUGUGAGAUGACAAAUCUGUCUUCCAUUACUUUGUUGAGCAGUUACCCCUGAGAAGAAUUAUUUCCUUUGAAAUAAAAAACAUACCCUGUACUGGCUGCUGCAUUAUAGGGCAUAUCUUGCCUGGAAAAUGGAAGUCAGGCAACAUGGCUAUUCUGUGGAAAUGUCUGAGCACAAAGAAGAGGCAGAAGGGAAUGUGGAGGCCUGAGAUGUCUUGGAAAUGAGCAGGAGGAUGACUGCAAUGGCCCUUCAGUUAGGUUCAGGCUUCUGCGGGAAGGCGGCACCCAGGAGCCCAGAGCAGGGAGACACACCGGUGUGGAAGUCCAGGUGUGCUGUGAUGGAGAGGCCUCCAUGUGGCCUUCCAUAUCCUGACAGCCCAGAUGGGGCGAAGGCAGACUUCCACAGGAGUAGAUGCCCAGAGGCUGCAGUGAAGAACCCUGCAGGGGACAUGGCCUCUGUCCCCGGCUGCAGGGAGGAGCCCAGGCUCUGGAGUGCAAGACGGUGCCAAAGGCAGCAACCUGCAGCGCAGGGCUCCUCUCCCAGGGAGCCUCGUUUGCAAGAUGCACGAGUAGUUCACAGGGCUGCUCUGACUGUGGCCACAAGGCUCUGCCCGGGCUUGGGAGGUCUUCCAUGAAGGCGAGGACCAGGGCUUCUUUCUGUGCUCACAUAACCCUUCCAGUCCUCAGAAAACUCAGCUGGGAGAGCGUUAGCCCUGGGGUUUUCUCUGGUCCUAGAAGCUCUUCUACAGGACUCCUCGAAACGCCCAGAGACCCUAUAGACCCUGCAGCCUCUGCCCGGCAUAUCCAUUGCAUUCAGUUAGGCACAACCCAACUCGGCUCCAGUCAGCACCAUUUCUUGGGAUGUGCAGCAUUUCUGCGCCUCUUGUGAAGACAAAGAUAAAUUAGACACAGACGGCAUUCGAGACACUUGCCAUGUUGAAGAGGAGAGGAGCACAGAAACAGCUAGCAAUGGUGCCAGACAGAAAGUUGUGUGCCUGACAAGGAUGAGAAAUUGGGGGGAUUUGAAGAGGAGACAUGAUUAAUUCUGACCAGAGUAACAGAGAAGGCUUCAUGGAUGACACAGAACUUCAGAGGGAGGAUUAAAGGACAAGUAAAGCAGGAUUUUUUAUUUUAGCAAAAGAAACAGUUGUGAAUUGGAGGCAGUGGCUGAGCCGUUCCCAUCGAUGUCUGGAAUUCCGAGAAGCUCCACUGGGGCUGCUAGCUGACGGCUGGCCCACCUGUUAUCAGGGGCAUUUGGACGGCUCAUGUGCCACGCCAGGGACGUAGCGUGCGGCACCUGCCCCCUCUGUGUUUUCCUCUCACAUGGGCCAGGGGCUCUGUCCCAUUAAAUAACCAGAAGAUUAAAUGCAGACUUUACAAAGUUCCUUGUUCGGAUCACUCUAUGCCCACAUCCUAGAAACAUCUAUGGAACUGAAUUUUCCCACUGAAGGAAAUGGCACGAUUAAAAACUUUUUAGAUUAUAUGAAUAAAAUGAUAGGCAAGCAAUCAUCUAGAAAAGAAGGACACUGUGGGGAAACCUCCCCAUUCUAUUUUCCUCUGUAAAACAAACUGAACUCCGGUGGUUUUCAGCAUUAUAACAUUCCUGUCCCACUGGAAAUGCAGAAGACCGGGUUAAAAAAACCCUAAGUGGACCAAGCCCAUUAUAACAUUCCUGUCCCACUGGAAAUGCAGAAGACCGGGUUAAAAAAUCCUAAGCGGACCAAGCCCAUGAUAACAUUCCUGUCCCACUGGAAAUGCAGAAGACCGGGUUAAAAAAUCGUAAGUGGACCAAGCAGAACAAACACUGCAACCCCUUUCUAAAAGCAGCCUUCAUUUAGACACCAAAAGACGGGAGAUACUAUUUCUUUAUUAUUUAUUUAUUUAUUUAUUUAUUUAUUUAUUUAUUUAUUUAUUUAUUUGAGACGGAGUCUUGCUCUAUCACCCAGGCUGGAGAACAGGGGCAUGAUCUCGGCUCACUGCAUUGCAGCCUCUGCCUCCCAGGUUCAAGUGAUUUUCCUGCCUCAGCCUCACGGGUAGCUGGGAUGACAGGCACACUCCACCAUGUCCUGCUGACUUUUAUAUUUUUAGUAGAGACAGGGUUUCACUAUGUUGGCCAGGCUGGUCUUGAACUCCUGACCUCAGGUAAUCUGCCCACCUCAGCUUCCCAAAGUGCUAGGAUUACAGGGGUGAGCCAUGGCGCCCAGCUGGGAGAUACUAUUUCUAAAGCUUACACUUUUCUGAUUCCUCUCUCUAUGUGUAGAUCUAGAUGUAGAAAUAGAUUGGUUGAGAGACAGAGAGGUGAACAUACAUAGAUGAUAGAUGAAUAAAUAAUAGCUAUAUUGAUUAGAUAGGAAGAUAGAUGGAUAGAGGAUAGAUAAGAACAGAUGAUAGGCCGGGCGUUCUGGCUCAUGCCUGUAUUCCCAACACUUUGGGAGGCCGAGGCAGGUGGAUCACAAGGUCAGGAGUUUGAGACCAGCCUGACCAACAUGGGGAAACCCCGUCUCUACUAAAAAUACAAAAAUUAGCUGGGCAUGAUGGCACGCCUGUAAUCCCAGCUACCCAGGAGGCUGAGUCAGGAAAAUCACUUGAACCCGGGAGGUAGAGGUUGCAGUGAGCCGAGAUCGCGCCAUUGCUCUCCAGCCUGGGCAACAGAGUGAGACUCCAACUCAAAAUAUAUAUAUAUUCCAUAGAUAGAUAACAGACAGAAGAUAGAUGAUAGGUUGAUGAUAAAUGAAUGAUAGGCAGAGAUAGAUGACUGAUAGAUGAUAGAUAGGUGAUAUAAAGAUCCACACAGAACACUUUUGCAAAUUUAUGAAUAAGGACUGUUUUCUUAAAAGUUCAUAAGGGAUCUAAGAUAUUUUCUCUUUAAAAUAAUAAGUUUCGCAGCACGAAGUUAACAUUAAAACUUAAAAAUGAAUGUCCUUGUGAGGAUGCACGCGGACACAGAGGUGAAACGCAGACAGCCUCCAGGCAGACGGGCUUUCGGAAAGCCCUCCCCUCCUCAGCUGCUGGCACCCCCAGCCUCAAGUACAGAGUCCCCAAGAAUUUGAAACAGGAAGACCCAGUGAGCUGUCCCUCAGCAGCGCAGGGAACACACAUGCGAUGUGACGGUGGAGCCUGGAGGGGCACUGCUGGGCUGUGGAAGUGGUGGGGGGUGAAGCCAGCCCAGAAAGCAGGUCCUGGCUGUGGAGGACCACGGGCGGCUGGAGCAGGCAGGCUUGGGCUUUGCCUGGGGCUGAGGUGGUCACAGUGGCCCGUUGAUGACAUUGUCCUCCAUCUAGACAUAGAGAACGUUUUUGGUGCUAUAUUCUGUGGAAAUCUACAGGCAAGAAUCCUAACUUUGGGUUUAGUAAAGGAUUAAGUGAUGUCACGUGUCCCCUCCCUUGUACUGAGUCAUAUGAAAAAUCACGCCUGUAGCAAAGGCGGACGUUCCCACACAUGCGAGAUGCUUCCAAGGCCUGGCUGUUCAUUUCCGGACUCACUGCUUCUUACAGUUACACUUGGCUGUGAAGCGAGGGGAGUGCGAAGGUCUCAGCGUUCCUGGGCCAUAAACGGUGGAACCUCCGGGGUAGAAACCACUGGCUUCAGCUCCAGGAAGCCUCAGACAUGGGGACAGCGCCCUCACCUGGCUCUCUGAGGCUCUGCACGUCCACCGCCGUCUCCCCUUUGAUUUUGCAGAUUGUGGGUAGCUCAGGACCUAGCAAAAGGGUGAAAAAUAUGUAGUCUACAACACUGCUUCUUAAAUAGUAAUGCCCACGAAAAUCCUCUGCGGGCCUUGCCAAAUGCGUGCUCGGAUUCAGCAAGUUUGGGUGGGGCUUGAGAAUCUGUAUUUCCAACUCACCUGCUCCUAGGUGAUGCUGCUGCUGCUGCUGCAUGCUCUGCCUUGGGUAGCAAGAGUCUAGGGGUGAGGUGUGGAGGGAGGGAGACAGAGUGAGAAAGAGUGAGGGGGAGACAGGAAGACAGAGGGAUCGCCAUGGAGAAUUAGCAUGCUGCAGUUUACGUGUAUGAAUUGAUUAACUCUUGGGAGGCUUAAAGUUCUUUUCUCUCAGAGAGAAAUAAUUUUUAAAAAUCUGAUCAUGCAUUGUGAGUCAAUACAAUAUAUCCUAUUUAAAAAUGUUUAACGUAUAAUUAUUAUUGUCCCCAAAGAAUGAAACGUUCCCUGUUCUGUGCCUCAACAUAGAGACAAAAGAUUAACUUGAACUCUACUUAAUGAUUCUACAGCUUAAUGGGAAUGACUUAAUUGUGGAAUUUAACAUCUUUCCUUAGGAAAAGAGGAUUCAAAGAAGAAGUGUACCUAGGGGUGGGGAUAAGGAGCAAACAUGGAGAUUGUGAUUUUCUAAGACUUUGCUAUGGCCACUCUCCUGCACGCUCGCCCUUGAUCAGAGCCACACAUAGGGUGUAAUUGUACACAUUCUGCAUGCUGCUUAUAAGUAUUUUACAAAUCUCAUGGUGAAUAUAAAUUUCUGAGAAUUAGGCUGAAUAAAAAAGUUCAAGUAGA